AGCUCCUGAGUAGCUGGGACUACAGGAAGAAGCCACCAUGCCUGGCUAAUUUUUUUAAGUUUUUUGUAGAGACGGGCAUCUCACUAGGUUGCCCAGGCUGGUCUCAAACUCCUGGGUUCAAGCAGUCCUCUCUCCUCGGCCUCCCAAAGUGUUGGCAUGACAGGCAUGAGCCGCUACACCCGACCUAUAAUUCUGGCUAUAUCAUUCCUUGGUCAACCACCUUCAAUGGCGCCCUCCUGCCUACUGAAAGAAAACAUGGUGUCGACUCCCAAGAUGGACUCAAUGGACGUGUCACUUGCCAGAACUUCAAUCUUGAAUUCAUCCAUCACAUAUUUCCAGAACUGGGAGGACUUGAUGCUGAAGGGGUCAAAGCAUUUUUUUUUCCUGUCUUCGAGCACAGGGCAUCACCUCCCUCUCGGGCUGGGCACUGCCACACCGCAGCCGGACCUGCUUUGUACUCACUAUGGUUCCUCUAGCAGUAAGACAUCGGAGUACCCGGCACACGGAAGAGACAGGAGAGCUUGCUGUCUCUCUCUCUGCUCUCCACCAUGGGAGGAUAAGAGAAGGUGCCAUCUGUGAACCAGGAAGUGGCCCUUGCCGGACGCCAGAUCUGCCAGCACCUUGAUUUGGACUUCCCAGCCUCCAGAGCUGUGAGAAAUAGAUGUUUGUUGGUGAAGCCCCCCAGCCUAUGGCAAUUUGUUACAACCAUCCAAGCUGGCUUGGGCACGGGCUUUGCCUGUCUUCACUCCCCAGCAAGUCUUCCUCAAUUCAUUGCCAAAGCAUAUUUUGAGUCAUGGGUUGUUUGAAAAGACCUACUUGGUAACAUCUACCCUUCCAACAAACAAGGUUUUAUUUGAUAUGUAUUUGCUCUACCUGACCAAAAAUCAAUCACCAUGGUAAACAUUUUAAAGGUUACUUGGACUCUUCCCUUGAUCUAACUGGGAAACAAAAGAGACACAACAAAUAUGCCCACUGAAGCCAUUAUUUCACAAGUUUCAGUCUUCACGCCUUCUCCAAAUAUGUGCAGACAUGCACUAUCACUGGCUGAAUACAUUUCUUUAUCUCUAACACUUCUUUACUGGAAAUUAGCUUUGAGAAGACUACGUAAGAACCCAGUACAGUAUGGAAAAGAAAGAGAGCUUGGCAUAGGUGAAAGAUAACCAUAAAAAGACAACAGAAUGAGAGUGAACAAGUGCAUGCACAACCACACCCCCUCAACACACAUACACACACACGUGCCAGAAAUGUACCUUUGGUAUUUCUGAGGA
Long non-coding RNA from Pan troglodytes (chimpanzee), 1268 nucleotides. RefSeq lists it as uncharacterized. The record is from RefSeq and is a predicted model, not a curated record. Lineage: Eukaryota; Metazoa; Chordata; Mammalia; Primates; Hominidae. The transcript is spliced from 4 exons.